UGUUUGAGCAGGCUUCUCAAUAUGCCAUAAUAUUUAAUGGUCUUCAGUGAGCUCACAGGUUUUAUAGUUUUCCUUCCAGUUUUAACAUAUACCUGAGGGACUAGGUUCCUCUUCUGCAAUUAUGCAAAGCCUCAGCUUCGUUUCAUUUCAACAUUUAAUCAAAUCUUGCUUAGUAUCCCUCCUCCAUCCAUUCUCUGGAGCUGCUAAUUGCUUUAUGUACAUCUCUACCAUGAAUAUUUUUAAUUGUGAAAGGGUUUAAAAGGAUAUGGAGUUUAAAUUUGAUUUAUAAAAAUCUCUUAAGUGGUCUUCAUUGCCUUUGGUGGAAAGUAUCCUUAUUUCCUUUUCUGUUUGAAGAGGUGUUAAUUAAAUACGUUGAGUUAAUUUAAAAUUAACAGUGGAUAUAAUUUGAUGUCUUUCUAUUGAAUCAGCAAGUUCUAAAUGAAGAUUCUCAGGUCAAGAAGAUUCUUGUUUUAGGUAUGGUUAAUCUAAGUGAAUAGACUGUUUCUCUAGAAGAGGCAAUUAUAUCGUGGAAAGGGAAUGUCAGUGCAGAACCCAGUCCAUUUUGAAAUGUAAAGAAAGUUGGGUGUCUAGACACAUGGAGCAUACCCAAAAUAGCCAAUGGCUUUCAUGGAGUUUACUAUCUGACAAUAUUCCUGACAAUUGCAUAAAACGGUCAGAGCUGGAAAAUCUUUGGAGAUCAUGUCAUCCCGUUCCCUCACUGUGAAGACAAGAACACUGAAACUCAUACAGGAGAAUAAUGAGGGCUGGUUAUCUAGUAAAUUAGCCCCAGUAUUUAAAAUAGGACAAUUGUCCUUAACUUUUAAUCCCCUGAGAUAUUUACAAAUCACAAACUUAUAGGUCAAGCCAUUUUUUGUUGCAAUAGUCUUAUGGAGGCAACAAUCAUUGCAGCAUUAUGAAUUUCAAAGUGUAGCAUACAGCUCUUCUUGUUUCAGCUUUCUGGAUGUAUUUAUUUAGUUUUAAAUUGCUAUAUGACAAAUUAUCACAAAUCUAACAGCUUAAAACAACUUCACAGUUUCUAUCCGUCAGGAGUCCAGGCAUGGCUCUUGUAGGCCCUCUGCACCAAGUCUCACAAAACUGAAAUUAAGAUGUUAGCUCACUAUGUUCCUUUCUGAAGCAUGGGGUUGCAUUCUAAUCUCACAUAGCGGGCAGAAUUUAAUUCCUUGUUCUUACAUGGCUAAAAUCUUCACUUUCUUUCUGAAUGUUGGCUUUUAGUUCCUAGAACUUUUUCACAGUUCCUUCACAUGGCCCUCUUACAAUAUGGUAGCCUACUUCUUCAUAGCCAACAGGAAAACUACUCCCAUAUCUCUUUUAAGUGUUUACCUGAUUAUGCCAGGACCACCUUUUGAUUAACUCACAUCAACUGAUUAGACACCUUAAUUGAAUGUGUAAAAUCCUCUCACCUUUGUCACAAAAUGUAACUUGAUCAUAAUGGGGCAGCCAUUGUGUUCAUCUGUCUGGUUACUUCCAAGGAAAAAUUAUACGGGGCAUGUUCAUUUGGCAGGUGGAAACCUUGGGACCAUCUUAGAAUUCUAUUCACCAUGCCAGACUACCUUCACCUCCUUCCAGGUAUAGAUUUAUGGUGAAGUUCAUGUUGCUUACAUUUCAGGUCUUUUCACCUGCACGGGCCACUGUGAAUACUGAUAAUGGUAAGAGUUACAGACUAUUCUAGACAGAGAGAAGAAGAUAAGUUUUGAUACAGAAGCAAUUCCAGGGAUCCCUGGGUGGCGCAGCGGUUUGGUGCCUGCCUUUGGCCCAGGGCGCGAUCCUGGAGACCCGGGAUCGAAUCCCACGUCGGGCUCCCGGUGCAUGGAGCCUGCUUCUCCCUCUGCCUGUGUCUCUGCCUCUCUCUCUCUCUCUCACUGUGUGCCUAUCAUAAAUAAAUAAAAAAAAUGUUUAAAAAAAAAUUAAAAAAAAAGAAAAGAAGCAAUUCCAUUUAAAGAUUUUUUAAAUAAGUAUUUCUGAUUCAGAAAGAAAGGGUUCUAAAUCUCUAAGAAUCUAAUUGGUUUUAGUCAUUUCCUUAUUUUAAAUACAUGUGCACUUCUUCAUCUAAUUCUGUGUGUUAUCCUUGAAGAGGGUUCUUCAUCUUUUGUAAGCUUCAGGUCUCAAAACAUAUGGCCCUGCGGUUCACCAUGAUUCAGUACAAAAACCUGUAACUAUUGACUAUCCUAGAACUCACUAGGGUUUGUCAGGUUUAUUGUUUUUACAUAAGCAAUUUCUAUGUCGAUGGAAGCCCUACGAUACCUUCUCUCCUUGGCUGCCUCCUAUCAGCUUCAAAAAUCAAUAAAGGGGCCUCACCUCUCACUGGUUUGGGACUCUACUUCAGUGUUUAUAUCUAUCAUACCAUAUUGGCUCUUAACUAUCCUUGUUUAUCCUGUCUCUCUACCUCCACUAUCUCAAUCUUUACUCUCCAUCUAACCCAAGCCUGUCCUUAAGGAGGGAGAAGUAGGUUUCCCUUUCUAUUUUCCCAGUGCUUAGUCUAGGCACUGCACUGAUAUUUUCUGCAUAAAUACAGAAUAAAUCAUUGGAAUGGAUUGUUACAUUUCAAAUUAUAAUAAAAAGAGGAAGAAAUUAAUGGCAUUGAUUUUAGACAAAAAAAUUAAUUUUGUUCAGAAUUAAGUUUCUCCUUUAUACUAUUUUUUAAAUGGUUACUUUUUACACUAACAUUUUCAUUCUCAGAACCAUAAAAUGUGAAGGCCCUGGGAUUAGUAAAUAGACCGUGCACACUGCAGUAUAAACCCAGGCUUAGAUUCUAACUGGAUGGGCUUGGGAAAAUGACCAGGUCACUUUUAGACUUGAGUUUCUCUAACUGCAAAAUAGAUUUAAUUUCAAUCCCAGUGUUGUUAU
RNAcentral lists this long non-coding RNA (2865 nucleotides) under Canis lupus familiaris (dog). RNAcentral describes it as "lncRNA (ENSCAFG00845012693.1)". The record is from RNAcentral. Lineage: Eukaryota; Metazoa; Chordata; Mammalia; Carnivora; Canidae.